Unclassified non-coding RNA from Ictidomys tridecemlineatus (thirteen-lined ground squirrel), 206 nucleotides. Lineage: Eukaryota; Metazoa; Chordata; Mammalia; Rodentia; Sciuridae. The record is from Ensembl.
CGGCGGGCGUGGUGCUUCCGGCCAGUGCCUAGAGGCGCUGGAGGCAGCAGGGCCGCGAGGAGGGCUCGCUGGGCCGCGCCGAGCUGGGCUCUGUGGGAAGGCGCGGACAGUCGGGGUCUGCUGCCCGCCCCGCGGCGCCCGGCUGGGUCCUGGCGCACAAAGAUGCGUGCCUUGCCGCCGCCCUCCUCCCGGCUUUGCGCUCCGGA